AAACCUUCAUGAUGAAUUGCAUGUGAGUCCGUGUUUCACCUGAAACCUCAUGAUUAUUCUUUCACUGCACUGAUGGGUUU
Molecule: small nucleolar RNA, 80 nt
Filed under: Amphilophus citrinellus (Midas cichlid)
Lineage: Eukaryota; Metazoa; Chordata; Actinopteri; Cichliformes; Cichlidae
Description: Small nucleolar RNA SNORD126 (ENSACIG00000012873.1)
Source: RNAcentral